Long non-coding RNA from Gadus morhua (Atlantic cod), 1347 nucleotides. RefSeq lists it as uncharacterized. The record is from RefSeq and is a predicted model, not a curated record. NCBI's taxonomy places the organism in Eukaryota, Metazoa, Chordata, Actinopteri, Gadiformes, Gadidae. The transcript has 3 exons.
GCUGUCGCUGUUAUUGAGGAAGAGAGGCAGCUGAAGUUGACAGUCGAGUGUGACAGUAGAAACACUCACAGUCUUGCUUUCUACGCUCCUGUAACUUUAAGGCAAGGGUUUGACCCGUGCUGAAGACCCACUAGAAGGUUUGGAAUGGUGUGACUUAUCAUCAAUGCCUGCAGGUACGCCCUGAAGAAGAUCCGGGCUGCCGUCCGCAGUGAGGAGCAGCCAAAGGCCUCCAGCAGUGCAGAACGUAGCAAGGUCAAAGGGAGGAAGGGGGGCGAUGAGGACGGCGGAGAUGGGCGGGGCUUCAUGUCGGUCCCAUCCUUAGAGGUGGCGGAGCAGGACGAGAUGACGCAGUGCGGCUCCUGAGGUUAAAGGUUGGGGAGGCCAAUCCAUGAGAAGACACACACAGACACACACACAGAUACAUACACCCACACGGACACACUGACACGCGCACGCACACACAAACACAUACACCGACACACACAACGACACACACACACACACUUAAACAACGGCCUAUUUCUACCACUUUCACCUACACUAGAAACUCUUCACAGAAGGAUGAGAAUUAACAAAAUGCACGCUGACGACACCACCACCCAUCCACCUCUACCUGAUCAGCCUUUGUCCCUCUGGGAUCAGCGGGAUUCACUUCCUGAACAGUUCCCCCACAAUACUCGCUCUCUUCCUCUUGAGGCUCUCACACACACACAUACUGGGAUUUCAUUAGGGUUUCAAACUGAGGCUGUUAACACAAAAGCCUCUUUGUUCGUCAGACAUUUGAGAUAUAUAUUAAGGUCUGCACACACAGACACACACACACACACACACACACACACACACACACACACACACACACACACACACACACACACACACACACACAAACCCAAUCAAAGGAACACACUGAUACAAACAUUAAGUCUUCCACUUUAAGUCAUCGGCCUCUUCGGAGACGGACUGCUCUCCCCCACCGCCACCAGCUCCUCCCCCACCACCAGAAGCUCCUCCCCCAACACCCAGAGCUCCUCCUCCAUCGGAAGCUCCGCCCCCCCCACCAUCCACCUCAAGCCGCCAGUGACAGAAUUCAUGAAAGCCCGAUCGCAAAGUCCGCACUGCGGGGCCCGGUCGGGCUGGAUGGCCUGAAGGCGUCUGCCGCUGGCUCAGAGCCGCAGUCUGGAGAUUCACCUCGUCUGCUUCAGUCUUACUGUGUUGUCUCAUUGUAUCCACGAGGAGGACAAUGUUCCCCAAGUGGUGUACAAAUCUGGAAGAUGAUUAUUAAUGAAUGGAUAUUCAGACAUCUAUACGUAUUAAAUGAAAUUAAUGAAUUAAAGGGAAAAACUUUGA